GUCUGUAUACCAACAUGAAUACAGAAUGAAACAGAGAAUGGUCUGAUGAUCGGCUGGAAGCACAUUAACUAAACAAAUCUGAACUACAGUCAAACCUCGUUAGGACGAACACGGAUAAGGCGAACUUUCCAUUAGUACGAACUAAGGUCAAUCCUAUGGUUGGCCAGGCAUCAAUUCAAGUCAAAAUUAUUCGUUUACGACGAACUUCUGUACAGCGAACUUUCGCGAAGACGAACUAUUUUCAAGUGUGAUUUGAACAAAGUCAGUGUGGUCAUGUACAUGUAGUACGAACUUUCGGUCCACGAGCGUGCGCUGGCUGCUUUUUUUCUUCUUCUUUUUUUCAAUAGUCGAGGUCAUACUAGUAUUGUACGUACAGUGCAAAUUGCUUUCAAGCGUGUUUUGAACAAAUCAAUCAGUACGUUGUACCAACUUUCGGCACAGUCGUGAUUCAUUGCACUUUGUCAUUGUACUUACCUUGUUCUGGCUUAUGCUAAGAAUGACAUGCUUCCCAUGUACACGUUUACCACAGCAUGCACCUUCACGUAAAUACAAUCCAUCUGAUAUGCAUAUCGAUUUUUUGUCAGAUCUGGAUAAGAAGAACUCCCGAUAAGACAAACAAAUUUGUUCAGUCCCUUGAAGUUCGUCCUAACGAGGUUUGACUGUACAAUCAGAGGAUUUUCUCAAAGUCUAUAAUGAUUAAUGUAGACAUGCGGCCUACAUUUACAGUAGCACUACAAGGUAGAUGAGACUGAUUGAGAUCAUGCAAAGCUGCACAUGAUUCACACCAUACCUAUAGACUCUUCAAAGGCCCGGAGUUUGCCCGUUAGGUAGCGAAUCUCACUCUGCUGUUUGGACACCUGAGAGUGAGAGAGAGAGAGAGAGAGAGAGAGAGAGAGAGAGAGAGAGAGAGCGAGAGAGAGAGAGAGAGAGAGAGAGAGAGAGAGAAACAGCCGGCUGGGUUCAGGUUACAUAAUAAAAUACAACGGAACACAACUCAAGAGGAAUGUGAACAGCCAAGCAUCUCGGGCUCCCGAGUCUCUCUACUUCUCCAAAGAACUCCUAAACAACAAGGGCCAACUCCGACCCAGAUCCCGUGCGUGAGGAGCUCAGAGCGGAUCUACAGCUAGAGUACAGUGCAGUAUCAGCAUGCUGGUUUUGAGACAGAAUUCGUUUGAAUUUCACCUCGUUAACCCACAAAAAUUCGGGAAUCGUUAACUUUAAUUGACGUUAAAUAUCUGGUAUUACAGUACAGAGUAGGUUUGUGGACGUCAUGAUACAAACACAUGCACAAGUCAUGGUAGCAAGGCUGCUACAUUUCUCCCCUUUUGGGGAAAAGACGGAGUCAGCGACGGCUUCCUUCCAGGCCUGGCUGUCGUCGUAGACUUAGCUGCCCAAUCAUACUGGGUACGGGUUUGCCGGCAUUUGUUGGACGUACUGGUCGGCAAUGGCUGCUGUACCAGGUUGCGGCUGAAUACGGUCGAGAUGACGUCGCUGCAACAAACCCGACUGGGCAUUCUCCAAGUGAAGGGACUGCAUAAACUGUCGGCAAGACUCGCGCCUCAGACGCUCUUUAUCCUCGCGCAGUUCAGACUGGCACUCAUCCAGUUGCCUGCACUCAGUCUGGGAAGUGCCAGCCUCAAUCUUCACCAGCGCCUCUCGUAGUUCCUGGUUUUCUUACAAAUGACGCAUUUUAUUGGGCCAGUAGAUGCAUUGGCAGAACAUGCGACGAUUUCCUCCAGCUUUCUCUUCAGCUGGGAGCACUCGCGGUACUUGUGAAUUUUGGCCCAUUGUCGGAAAUCAACCUGUGCGGUGCACCGAAUAGAGCGAAGAUCUGAUCGCAUGCCUUCGUGAUCGCCACCAUUGUUUCCGAGCCGAGGCGAACAACAGUAGGGUAGCAAGAAUACGAAUCCAGGCAGCUGAGAAACGGGAUGCCGAGGUAAUAGAAAACGUCGACAGAAACCGUGUGACACACACACACGUGUGGGGAAGCUCUCUUGGCUUGAGCGGAGCUGGCCGUACACUUGCAUUGGACAUGCACCGUGUGCAUUCCUCGAGCAUUUGACGGGCAUCCUUGCUCCAACCGGGCCACCAAACACACUCUCUCAGGCGUUGCAGGGUCUUGUCACGCCCUGGAUGUCCGUCAUGCGCCAGCUUCAGAACACUGUCAACAGCAGCCAGAGGAAUGACGAGGCGAUCACCACGGCAAAUCACAAAGCCGUUAGAGUUCGGAUACGGCCAGAAGCUGAGCUCAUGCCGAAGUGCUUCAAAUGGAGUGAGCUUUGCUUAGCUGUCUUUGGCCAACGAGACGUCUCAAGAGCUGUGCGAACUGCUGUGAGCGUGUCAUCCUGUGCGGUCAACUCCGCAACUCACUUGCGUUGAGGUGUCGGCAAACCACACGCAAGGGUUACAGCGUGGACCAAUGCAUCAGUGGGAUCCGCAGGCUCAACUGGAAGACGUGACAACGCUUCUGCUAUGUGAUUCUGGGUACCAGGACGAUAGGCGACAGUAAAGCUGAGGUCUUGCUUCUUCAUAACCAGCUUCUGCACACGCAAGUUAGCGUUCACGAGACAGUACGUUGGUUUGAAGACUUGAAUGAGAGGUUUGUGAUCAGUUAUCACUGCGAAACUGGUGCCAGUGACAAACAUACGGAAACGGUUGAUCCCCCCCCCCCCCAUGCCACAGCCAAUGCAUCUUUCUCAAUUGCUGCUAGCGAGAUUCUGGGCCGCUUAGCUUGUGACUUGCAUAGUACACCGGUCGCCACCCUUCGUGUUCGCUGCUACCGUCUCCCCCGUGAGAGAGAGUGAGAGAGAGAGAGAGAAAAAGAGAAAAAAAGAUGGAGCAUUGCUCUACCUCCUGGUUGAAAGCAGGUCCACUGAAGAUUAUGAACCAGCUGUGACAGGGCAAUUCUUACACCACAAAGUAUGUUCACCCAGUGGUUCUACAUGAUUGCCGUACAGCUGUCCAGAAGGGAUUCUGAAAGGGAAACGAUGAAUUCUUCCUUACCGUGUCUUCCAACUCUUGAAUGUGACAUUUCAUUCGUUUAAACAGUGCAACCUGUUGCUGGUAAGCUGUGACCUGUGAAGUCUUCCUGCAACGGGUACAUGCACAAACAGGCCAAGUGUGUCAUGGUGACAGUUCAAUGUUCAAUGUUCAAUGUUCAAUGCUAGAACAGAUGCACAUGCAUGAAUGCACGCAUUCAUUACACUUGAAUCCAGCAUUUGAGCACACAGUACAGCUUGAAAGCGAGGACAUCAAACGCACUUGGAUAGUAAAGAAAAGAAUUGGAUAGACCCAUAUCUUUCUCGCUCCACGUAUACUGGCACACACAGAGACAUAGACAGCAAUAGCGACAACACACAACGUGAAGGGUAGUUGGCCGCAGCCAGAUGUGACUAUGACUGCCCGGCCAUAACUUGGACAUGCCCGGAACUCUGGACAACAUUAUGAUCGGGAAGCCUGACCAGAGAUCUGAGAUAUGAUGUUACUACUUCCACAAAGAGUAGUGACACUUCCACUAAACCCUCACCUACAGGUUGCCCGGUAGACCGAAGUGACCGUGCCUUUCAGGUCCGGAUAAGAGAGAUAUGAAUGUACAUGUAUUACCAUUUUCUUCAUUUUUCAUUCUUCCAUAGCUUAAAAUGUGCUAGACGGCGAUGGCCACGCACCCAUUCUGAUUUCCUCUGUACCACUGAGCAGUGCGCUACAGACAAUGUUGAAGCACAACCAGUGGAUGUAUCACUGAGCAGUGCGCUACAUACAAUGUUGAAGCACAACCAGUGUCCAGUGCAGUGGAUGUAUCUACAUACAAUGUUGAAGCACAACCAGUGUCCAGUGCAGUGGAUGUAUCACCCCCAACAUGCUGCUCUAAGUAGAUCCAGCAGAAGUCACAAAACCAUCGCCCGGUUCAUGGGUGCUACACUGAGUGACUGAACCAUGCAACAUAGAGACAGGGGAAGUUACCAGACAGAAGAAAAAUAUGAGGAAGACAGCAAGGAGGUGAAGAAGAGGAAUGUGAGGGAGGAGGAGGAGGGCAAGGAGAACGAGGGGGAGGUGAGGCUGGAUGAAGAGGAUGAGGAAUAUUCAAGUAGGGGGGAAACGAUUACACCUUUCGACUACCGAAUAACCUAAACCGUUAUCGAUCGGUUAUCGGUUACUUUUCGAUUAUUUCUUCCGCAGAUAAAAACAGUAUCAGAAGCUGAAAAAAAAAUGCAAAAUUUAGAAUUUUAAUAUUGAUCCUGUGGAGGAGAGAGUUUUUUCCUCUCACAUCUGUCGAUCUACAAUCAUACGUGUAUAAUAAUGCAUCCUGUAUGCAUAAUCAAGCAAUCAAAACUUUUCGAAUAAUCGUAACGAUUUCUAUUUUGAUUACUGUAAGACAUGUUAUUAUAACGAGUUGCAAAUUUAACGAUUGUGCAAAAUUCAUAGGUUAACGAGAAGAUAUAUUAACGAUCUUGCAGUAUUUCGGCAUAUCCACAUACAGCAUAUAUGAACCUGUACGGCCUCAACGGAUCUUAUUAUAACGAAGAAAUGUCAUCCGUUAAAACGUUAGAUUUGCUUCCUCGUUAUAUAUACAUGUCUUACAGUAUUCGGUAUAAUCGUUUCACCCGGCUACAGUCAAAAUACAAGUCAAGACACUCACCAGGCUGACAUUUCUGACUCGGCAUCAACGAGAAAGUGACGGUCAUCACCAGAAUCUUCAGAAGCAUCUGCAAAGCACAGAAGAAGCACCCAACACUGUACCAACACUGCGCUACUGAUUACCAUACAAUACAACGUAGCAACCAGCAAAACAUCACCAUAGCAACCAGCAAACAUCACCAUAGCAACCAGCAAAACAUCACCAUUCUUUUGCCUUUGCAGUAGUACGUCCCCUAGACCCAUUUGAGAAGCGUCCCGUGACCUGGAGUGUGACUGGAUUCUUGACAUCGUAGUGCACUAAUCGGGUAUGCUUACACAUUGCAUCUUUCAAGGCCUGGAAUGCCUCUUCCUCUGCCUUGCCUCAUUGCCAUUUCAUUUCUUUCCUGAGUAAUUUGUGCCGUGGUGCAGCAAUCUCUGCGAACCGAGGCACAAAUUUCCAUGUGAAGCGGCGGCUCUUCCGGUUUGUGACCAGACUUGUCAAACGGAAAACAAUUCUCGUCUGACGGCUUCGAAGUUUGCUUGCUCGUCGACGUGCACGAUGCUCCAGUCGAACGGACGGCGUGGACGGGCUGUGCCGUCAAUUGCUCCGACUCUCUGGGCGCUGUCUCAUAGGCUGAUGCCAUCGUCACGACGUCCGCCAAACUUGAGGUCUCCUUGGCUUUGAUCAAGAUCUCCUUCGUGACACUCAUUGACUUCAGACCAACGAACUGAUCUCUGAGUGCUCUGUUAAACUUACAAUCCAUAACUGCUUUCUUUAGUCUAGCUGCAUAUUGUGUCGCUGACUCUCCGUCCUUUUGACAAGUUCUCUGGAACCUAUGUAUCGCCGCCAACACACUGACAUUCGGCUUGAAGUGCUCCGUAAGUAAUGCUGCAAAGCAUUAGCCUACAGUAAUACAUGCAAAAGGUGCAACCUACGCCUUUGCGGAAAAUUGUGAAUUCCUCUAGGACCCUAAAGGUCUGACGUGGAAUUUAGGUUGCAUAAGGAGGUGAGGCUGAGAAUGUGACAGUGUGUUAGGCCCAAAAUCGCUCCGUUUUCAUAUAAUUCAUAGCGUUUCAAAGACAAACACAUUCAGCCUCAUUUCCUGCCAAAACCAACCCCUCCCAGAAUCUCGUUGGCCUUUCUGAGCCGUUUCUUGAAUGUAUUACUGUGACAGUGUUCUGCCGGGGGGUAUCACUGCACUGGGAGGGUGGGGCACUGUCACAUUCUCAGCCUCACCUCUUUAUGCAACCUAAAUUCCACGUCAGACCUUUAGGGUCCUUGCGGAAUUCAUGAUUGCAUUUUGGAGGCUCGGCCUUCAAAUUUGACAGUCACGGUGAUUUUCAAAGACAAGCGGCUGAGACCGUAUCCAGUUAAUUGCUCCUACAUGUAUUAUCACUGUCCACGGUGACUGAGGUGGAAAAAGAAAUAUUUAUUAUAGGAUAACGUCAUCCAGUGCAAACAUGGACAGCAGCACUCACCCCUCCCCUCUAUCAUUUCUCACCUGUAUAGUUUUUAUUACCAGUGCAAUUUUUUCCAAAGUUUGUGCUAUUUUUCUUACUAUUCUUGUAUCCUCGUUUUUUCACUCCAAGUGCAUAAAUCCUAUCGUAGUUUCAUCAUCUCCUUUAGUCACGAAUUCCAUUGAUAAUUGUGACAAGAAAACGUUCUGGAAUACUAUAUUCGUUGCUAUGGUUGUGAUAUGAGUGCACACAUAGUUUAUUCAUUGCAUUACUUUAAAAAGGUUUUGAAUUGCAUUGUUUUUUGUUAAUAUUGACUAACGGAUUCCUGCGUCAGAUAAUAAAUUAUUACUGUAGUGUCGUGACAUAGUUUAAGAAUUCUCGUACGGUGGAUUGAUGAACUUGUCUUGAACUUAUUUUAUGUGUUGCUUCAAUGA
Sycon ciliatum is the source of this 6506-nucleotide long non-coding RNA. RefSeq lists it as uncharacterized. The record is from RefSeq and is a predicted model, not a curated record. The transcript is spliced from 2 exons. NCBI's taxonomy places the organism in Eukaryota, Metazoa, Porifera, Calcarea, Leucosolenida, Sycettidae.